GCUUGCUGCUUCGCUGACGAAGUGGCGGACGGGUGAGUAAUGUCUGGGAAACUGCCUGAUGGAGGGGGAUAACUACUGGAAACGGUAGCUAAUACCGCAUAACGUCGCAAGACCAAAGAGGGGGACCUUCGGGCCUCUUGCCAUCGGAUGUGCCCAGAUGGGAUUAGCUUGUUGGUGGGGUAACGGCUCACCUAGGCGACGAUCCCUAGCUGGUCUGAGAGGAUGACCAGCCACACUGGAACUGAGACACGGUCCAGACUCCUACGGGAGGCAGCAGUGGGGAAUAUUGCACAAUGGGCGCAAGCCUGAUGCAGCCAUGCCGCGUGUAUGAAGAAGGCCUUCGGGUUGUAAAGUACUUUCAGCGGGGAGGAAGGGAGUAAAGUUAAUACCUUUGCUCAUUGACGUUACCCGCAGAAGAAGCACCGGCUAACUCCGUGCCAGCAGCCGCGGUAAUACGGAGGGUGCAAGCGUUAAUCGGAAUUACUGGGCGUAAAGCGCACGCAGGCGGUUUGUUAAGUCAGAUGUGAAAUCCCCGGGCUCAACCUGGGAACUGCAUCUGAUACUGGCAAGCUUGAGUCUCGUAGAGGGGGGUAGAAUUCCAGGUGUAGCGGUGAAUGCGUAGAGAUCUGGAGGAAUACCGGUGGCGAAGGCGGCCCCCUGGACGAAGACUGACGCUCAGGUGCGAAAGCGUGGGGGAGCAAACAGGAUUAGAUACCCUGGGUA
Molecule: ribosomal RNA, 723 nt
Filed under: Shigella flexneri
Lineage: Bacteria; Pseudomonadati; Pseudomonadota; Gammaproteobacteria; Enterobacterales; Enterobacteriaceae
Description: bacterial SSU rRNA
Rfam family: Bacterial small subunit ribosomal RNA
Source: RNAcentral